Molecule: ribosomal RNA, 560 nt
Filed under: Erwinia sp. C7-2
Lineage: Bacteria; Pseudomonadati; Pseudomonadota; Gammaproteobacteria; Enterobacterales; Erwiniaceae
Description: bacterial SSU rRNA
Rfam family: Bacterial small subunit ribosomal RNA
Source: RNAcentral
AGGGGGAUAACUACUGGAAACGGUAGCUAAUACCGCAUAACGUCUUCGGACCAAAGUGGGGGACCUUCGGGCCUCACACCAUCGGAUGUGCCCAGAUGGGAUUAGCUAGUAGGUGGGGUAAUGGCUCACCUAGGCGACGAUCCCUAGCUGGUCUGAGAGGAUGACCAGCCACACUGGAACUGAGACACGGUCCAGACUCCUACGGGAGGCAGCAGUGGGGAAUAUUGCACAAUGGGCGCAAGCCUGAUGCAGCCAUGCCGCGUGUAUGAAGAAGGCCUUCGGGUUGUAAAGUACUUUCAGCGGGGAGGAAGGCGAUAAGGUUAAUAACCUUAUCGAUUGACGUUACCCGCACAACAAGCACCGGCUAACUCCGUGCCAGCAGCCGCGGUAAUACGGAGGGUGCAAGCGUUAAUCGGAAUUACUGGGCGUAAAGCGCACGCAGGCGGUCUGUCAAGUCANAUGUGAAAUCCCCGGGCUUAACCUGGGAACUGCAUUUGAAACUGGCAGGCUAGAGUCUUGUAGAGGGGGGUAGAAUUCCAGGUGUAGCGGUGAAAUGCGUA